AUUACUUUUAUUAUUUUAUGUAUAAAAUGCACAUGUGUACUUAUUGGGUCAUUUGUAAAAAUAAUAAACAAAAAUACACAUGAGAAAUACACAAUGUCAAUUACUUACACGAGUAAAGAAAAGAGGCUAUAAUAUGUACUUGCUAGGAGGUUACUUGAUACUUGUUGAUGAGAGUUUGCAUGGAGAAAUGUGUCUUGAGGGAAAUGCUUGUGACAGGAUGUGUAGUUCUGAAUGAUAGCCACAUUAGCGGCUAGUUAGCGUUUCAUUUUUUGGGAGGUAAAUACAGGUGAAUAUAUUGAUAAAAGGUCAUUUGUCCGAGAGAGAUUUCUAUGGUUAUCAAAACGUCAAGCCAGGGUAAGACUACAUGAAACACAGACCUGGAAUGAAGUAUUUAAAAACAUCUCAGGUGAAGAAAUUAUGAGUGUAAAAAAACAAACAAUUGGAACCAUUUCCUGGUUUUACCCGCUAGGUUUUAUGGGUAUUAUGACCCAUACUGUACUCUAUAGUCUGAUUAUGAAGAUGUACACAGGUGAAGACCAAUGAUGUAGAUAAACCCUAGAUGACUGACAGGGGGCGCUGUGUUGAAGCCACUACUCAACCAUCUAAAUACACUAGAUGACUGACAGGGGGCGCUGUGUUGAACCCACCACUCAGCCAUCUAAAUACACUAGAUGACUGAUAGGGGGUGCUGUAGUGAAGCCACCACUCAACCAUCUAAAUACACUAGAUGACUGACAGGGGGCGCUGUAGUGAAGCCACCACUCAGCCAUCUAAAUACACUAGAUGACUGAUAGGGGGUGCUGUAGUGAAGCCACC
Long non-coding RNA from Oncorhynchus tshawytscha (Chinook salmon), 816 nucleotides. The record is from Ensembl. NCBI's taxonomy places the organism in Eukaryota, Metazoa, Chordata, Actinopteri, Salmoniformes, Salmonidae.